RNAcentral lists this ribosomal RNA (568 nucleotides) under uncultured Cortinarius. RNAcentral's name for it is "eukaryotic LSU rRNA". The stretch from base 232 to 383 matches the Rfam family "5.8S ribosomal RNA". Lineage: Eukaryota; Fungi; Basidiomycota; Agaricomycetes; Agaricales; Cortinariaceae. The record is from RNAcentral.
CUUGGUCAUUUAGAGGAAGUAAAAGUCGUAACAAGGUUUCCGUAGGUGAACCUGCGGAAGGAUCAUUAUUGAAAUAAACCUGGUGGGUUGUUGCUGGUUCUCUAGGGAGCAUGUGCACACCUUGUCAUCUUUAUAUCUCCACCUGUGCACUUUUUGUAGACCUUUCAGGUCUAUGUUGCUUCAUUUACCCCAAUGUAUGUUAAUAGAAUGUUGUGCCUAUAUAAUAUAUACAACUUUCAGCAACGGAUCUCUUGGCUCUCGCAUCGAUGAAGAACGCAGCGAAGCGCGAAAUGUAGUGUGAAUCGCAGAACAUUGUGAAUCAUCGAAUCUUUGAACGCACAUUGCGCCUCCAGUAACUUGGAGGCAUGCCUGUCUGAGCGUCAUUUAAAACCAUAGACCCUUCUGGGUUUGUAUUGGGCCUCGCCUCCGGGCGUAGCCUCAAAGUCAUCGGUCUUAUACGCGGACGAGCUCCAUUCGGACGGAACGUGUGCAGACCUUAAUACAUCUGACUUGACCUCAGAUCAGGUAGGACUACCGCCUGAACUUAAGCAUAUCAAUAAGCGGAGGA